AAGACGAGUCAAUGAUCCAGGUCAAGGAUGAAAUUGAUGAUCAUGUCGAUGAAUCUGGCUCCUUGGAAGCCAUUCCAGCACAUAGACAAAGAGACAAACGUGGAUCGAUGGGGGUUAAAUCAAGAUGGAGUCAACCUUUAUCAAAGUUUGAAGUUGCUUCCAGUACGGUAUCAAAGCAUGGUAGAGUUACACCUACGGAUGCUAACACCGGUCCUGAAGCAAAGCAGGCGAGGAAGGCACAGAAAGCA
This 248-nucleotide unclassified non-coding RNA is filed under the name Hevea brasiliensis (rubber tree). The record is from RNAcentral. Lineage: Eukaryota; Viridiplantae; Streptophyta; Magnoliopsida; Malpighiales; Euphorbiaceae.